Molecule: unclassified non-coding RNA, 222 nt
Filed under: Hevea brasiliensis (rubber tree)
Lineage: Eukaryota; Viridiplantae; Streptophyta; Magnoliopsida; Malpighiales; Euphorbiaceae
Source: RNAcentral
AAGUAUUUUCCGAUCUCCUUAAUUUGAUCUCUAAUCAAUCUUUCAAUUGAAUUAGCCAAAAAUCCCCUAUUUCUAGGGUUCAUAUCUAUCACCUAAUCCACAAAAAAAAAAAAAUGCUCAAAAGUUUCAGAAAGAUCCAUUACUUAGGACACUGUUCACACGAUUUUUUCUAAAAUCAGCUUCCUUUCUGAACACCCUUUUGAGUUCUGAGCAAAACCCAGA